UGGGGAAUUUUGGACAAUGGGCGAAAGCCUGAUCCAGCAAUGCCGCGUGUGUGAAGAAGGCCUUCUGGUUGUAAAGCACUUUUGUCCGGAAAGAAAUCCUUGGCUCUAAUACAGUCGGGGGAUGACGGUACCGGAAGAAUAAGCACCGGCUAACUACGUGCCAGCAGCCGCGGUAAUACGUAGGGUGCAAGCGUUAAUCGGAAUUACUGGGCGUAAAGCGUGCGCAGGCGGUUUGCUAAGACCGAUGUGAAAUCCCCGGGCUCAACCUGGGAACUGCAUUGGUGACUGGCAGGCUAGAGUAUGGCAGAGGGGGGUAGAAUUCCACGUGUAGCAGCGAAAUGCGUAGAGAUGUGGAGGAAUACCGAUGGCGAAGGCAGCCCCUUGGGCCAAUACUGACGCUCAUGCACGAAAGCGUGGGGAGCAAACAGGAUUAGAUACCCUGGUAGUCCACGCCCUAAACGAUGUCAACUAGUUGUUGGGGAUUCAUUUCCUUAGUAACGUAGCUAACGCGUGAAGUUGACCGCCUGGGGAGUACGGUCGCAAGAUUAAAACUCAAAUGAAUUGACGGGGUCAUAGCUGUUUCCU
RNAcentral lists this ribosomal RNA (585 nucleotides) under uncultured bacterium. Its description in RNAcentral is "partial 16S ribosomal RNA". It matches the Rfam family "Bacterial small subunit ribosomal RNA", at positions 355 to 1375 of the family's 1533-position model. The record is from RNAcentral.